Molecule: long non-coding RNA, 344 nt
Filed under: Gallus gallus (chicken)
Lineage: Eukaryota; Metazoa; Chordata; Aves; Galliformes; Phasianidae
Description: long non-coding RNA NONGGAT003070
Source: RNAcentral
GGGGGAUGCUAAGAUGGGAGAGACACUGUGAGGUCGGGGUACUGCUGCAAAAUAAGGGCACAGAUCAAAGAGAGGAAACCAGAGAGGGAGAAUAUGUUGGCAUCAUCGUGGAUAGACUUGUUUACUGUUAUGGUAGCAUCCAGGACAUUCUGAAUUGGUGAGUCUGCAGCUCUAGGCCAUCUAAUGGCCACUUCAACCUUAAUUUCAAGGCUUUGGUGCUGUGAGGACCUCCAAGGGAAGCCAAGGAUGUGGAGCAGUGACUUCAAUCCUCAGCCAUCAUUUAUGUUAUCAGUCAUCCUCAAAUCCCAGCACAAACAACACUACAGGGGCAGAAGCACAGCCGA